GGACUCCUAACUCAAUUGGUUAGAGUAGAUCCCUUUUAAGGAUAAGGUUCCGGGUUCGAGUCCCGGGGAGUCCACCA
This 77-nucleotide transfer RNA is filed under the name Candidatus Riesia sp. RNAcentral's name for it is "tRNA-Lys". It matches the Rfam family "tRNA". Rfam says of the family: Transfer RNA (tRNA) molecules are approximately 80 nucleotides in length. Their secondary structure includes four short double-helical elements and three loops (D, anti-codon, and T loops). The record is from RNAcentral. Lineage: Bacteria; Pseudomonadati; Pseudomonadota; Gammaproteobacteria; Enterobacterales; Enterobacteriaceae.